UGGCAUUUUGUUUAUGUUUUUUCUUAUUUGUUCUUUUGCAGUUGUCUUCUAAACAAAUUUAGUCAAGUUUCGAAAACAAAUUAUUGGUAGCUUACUAGCUUAUAUAGAAUUAAUUCUAGGAGAAGUUGCAGCAGAGUGCAAUUUUAUAUGCAAUGCACAGCCACAGACACCAUCUUUUCUUCAAUAUGCUUUUCUUUUUGAGCUGUUUUGUUAGAGCAUUAAUGCACAGAAUGAUAGUAGUAACAUCGCAGUAGAAAGAUGGAGGAUUCUUAGUGGGAAGAACAACUUGGAAGGAGUACUAUUAGAUUGACCUGCCC
RNAcentral lists this long non-coding RNA (317 nucleotides) under Solanum tuberosum (potato). RNAcentral's name for it is "long non-coding RNA (STUB_LNC004605)". Lineage: Eukaryota; Viridiplantae; Streptophyta; Magnoliopsida; Solanales; Solanaceae. The record is from RNAcentral.